Molecule: ribosomal RNA, 499 nt
Filed under: uncultured bacterium
Lineage: Bacteria
Description: partial 16S ribosomal RNA
Rfam family: Bacterial small subunit ribosomal RNA
Source: RNAcentral
GACGAACGCUGGCGGCGUGCCUAAUACAUGCAAGUCGAGCGAAGUUUUUCUGGUUCUUGCACUAGAAAAACUUAGCGGCGAACGGGUGAGUAACACGUAAAGAACCUGCCUCAUAGACUGGGACAACUAUUGGAAACGAUAGCUAAUACCGGAUAACAGCAUUUCUCGCAUGAGAGAUAUUUAAAAGUUGGUUAUGCUAACACUAUGAGAUGGCUUUGCGGUGCAUUAGCUAGUUGGUGGGGUAAAGGCCCACCAAGGCGACGAUGCAUAGCCGACCUGAGAGGGUGAUCGGCCACACUGGGACUGAGACACGGCCCAGACUCCUACGGGAGGCAGCAGUAGGGAAUCUUCCGCAAUGGGCGAAAGCCUGACGGAGCAACGCCGCGUGAGUGAAGAAGGAUUUCGGUUCGUAAAGCUCUGUUGUUAGGGAAGAAUGGAUAUGUAGUAACUAUACAUGUAAGAGACGGUACCUAACCAGAAAGCCACGGCUAACUACGUG